RNAcentral lists this ribosomal RNA (440 nucleotides) under uncultured bacterium. Its description in RNAcentral is "bacterial SSU rRNA". It matches the Rfam family "Bacterial small subunit ribosomal RNA", at positions 338 to 776 of the family's 1533-position model. The record is from RNAcentral.
CCUACGGGAGGCUGCAGUCGAGAAUCUUCGGCAAUGGGCGCAAGCCUGACCGAGCGACGCCGCGUGGCGGACGAAGGCCUUCGGGUUGUAAACGCCUGUUGGGGGGGACCAAGGCUAGGCUCACGCCUGGCUUGAGGGAACCCCUGAGGAAGCACGGGCUAAGUUCGUGCCAGCAGCCGCGGUAAGACGAACCGUGCGAACGUUAUUCGGAAUCAUUGGGCUUAAAGCGCGCGUAGGCGGCGGCGCAAGUCCUCGGGUGAAACCCCACCGGCUCAACCGUGGGACCGCCCGGGAUACUGCGCCGCUGGAGGGGGGCAGGGGCCCGCGGAACUUCCGGUGGAGCGGUGAAAUGUGUUGAGAUCGGAAGGAACGCCGGCGGCGAAAGCGGCGGGCUGGACCCCUACUGACGCUGAGGCGCGAAAGCCAGGGGAGCGAACGGG